RNAcentral lists this ribosomal RNA (468 nucleotides) under uncultured bacterium. RNAcentral's name for it is "partial 16S ribosomal RNA". It matches the Rfam family "Bacterial small subunit ribosomal RNA", at positions 28 to 507 of the family's 1533-position model. The record is from RNAcentral.
GACGAACGCUGGCGGCGUGCUUAACACAUGCAAGUCGAACGGAAAGGCCCUGCUUUUGUGGGGUGCUCGAGUGGCGAACGGGUGAGUAACACGUGAGUAACCUGCCCUUGACUUUGGGAUAACUUCAGGAAACUGGGGCUAAUACCGGAUAUGAGCUCCUGCUGCAUGGUGGGGGUUGGAAAGUUUCGGCGGUUGGGGAUGGACUCGCGGCUUAUCAGCUUGUUGGUGGGGUAGUGGCUUACCAAGGCUUUGACGGGUAGCCGGCCUGAGAGGGUGACCGGCCACAAUGGGACUGGGGUACGGCCCAGAGUCCUACGGGAGGCAGGAGUGGGGAAUAGUGCGCGAUGGGCGGAAGCCGGAUGCAGCAACGCCGCGUGCGGGAUGACGGCCUGCGGGUUGGAAACCGCGUGCGCCUGUGACGAAGCGUGAGUGACGGUAAUGGGUAAAGAAGCACCGGCUAACUACGUG